UAGAGUAUGGGAGAGGGUGGUGGAAUUCCAGGUGUAGCGGUGAAAUGCGUAGAGAUCUGGAGGAACAUCAGUGGCGAAGGCGGCCACCUGGCCCAAUACUGACGCUGAGGCACGAAAGCGUGGGGAGCAAACAGGAUUAGAUACCCUGGUAGUCCACGCCCUAAACGAUGAAUACUAGAUGUUUGGUACCUAGCGUACUGAGUGUCGUAGCUAACGCGAUAAGUAUUCCGCCUGGGAAGUACGGCCGCAAGGUUAAAACUCAAAGGAAUUGACGGGGGGCCCGCACAAGCGGUGGAGCAUGUGGUUUAAUUCGAUGCAACGCGAAGAACCUUACCUGGGCUUGACAUGUCCGGAAUCCUGCAGAGAUGCGGGAGUGCCCUUCGGGGAAUCGGAAC
RNAcentral lists this ribosomal RNA (395 nucleotides) under uncultured bacterium. RNAcentral describes it as "bacterial SSU rRNA". It matches the Rfam family "Bacterial small subunit ribosomal RNA", at positions 642 to 1033 of the family's 1533-position model. The record is from RNAcentral.